CCCAGCAGUGAAAGUGCACACUGCCUGUGCCCUGGUCAUUGAUAGUGCAGGGAGAGGAAUCGCCGAAAGCCUUUCCCCGUGUUUGGAGGGUCCAAAAAAAAAACAAACAAACAAACAAACAAA
This 123-nucleotide small nucleolar RNA is filed under the name Bison bison bison. RNAcentral's name for it is "Small nucleolar RNA SNORA71 (ENSBBBG00000019705.1)". Lineage: Eukaryota; Metazoa; Chordata; Mammalia; Artiodactyla; Bovidae. The record is from RNAcentral.